GGCUGGCGGGAGGGGGGCUCCACGGAGCUCCAGCCAGGGCCGCGGUUCGCCUGCACGUCACGGCUACUCAAACCCAAGCACGUCCCGAAAGCGGUAUUUUCUGCGUCUGGGAGGUUUUUGCAUCCUCAGUUCCCACCGCUGGGGCUGGCGGCGACCAACUCGCAGACCUGUCGCAGCCAGAGAGCUGUCAUUUCAGUACCGGGAUUCAGAAUUGAUCCAGUCCGCAGCGGAGGGGGCACAUCCCAGCUACCGAGCUGCUGAGUGUCUCUGGCUGGAACAAUAGUAUUUUUUUCUCUGCGAGGCUGCAAUUAACAUCUUAUUUGUUCUGGCUCCAUACAGGCUUUGUCAGGAUCGCGGUGCGGCGACCGACGUUGGGCUCUUGCAUUGCUUUGUGCUUGGCAAUGGAAUCAUGGUUUCGGGAUAGUCAUUUUGCCUCCUGGACAGUUGGCUGACGAAGUGUCUGAUAAACCAGCUUCAGAUACAUGCUACAAAAGGCUACUGAGCUGGCCUGAUGAUGAUCCUUCUGAGAUAUAUUUAUAGCAGAUGAUUUGUGGAUGAUAACUACGCCAAGCAAGACACUGUCUCCAGUAACCCCAGGCUCGUCUGACUUCCUCAGGGGAUUAUAAUAAAGAAUCACAAAAAGAACCCUAUAUGGACAGUCUGGUCUCUGGACACUAACAACAGCACAAUCCAAAGGCAAAGAAAGGAGGAACCACCUUGUUUCAUGUCUGCAAGCUGCUCCAUAUGAAAGCAUUGCUGACAUGUUGACCCAACAGCAAAAAGAGAGCAGCAGUUUACACACCCUCAGCUCUCUGUCCUUUCCUUUCUAUUGAUGUUGGUCCACUUUUAUGACUGAAUACAUAUUAAAAUCACCAUUUCAAAUUAUAA
This 888-nucleotide long non-coding RNA is filed under the name Homo sapiens (human). Its description in RNAcentral is "HSALNT0334976". The record is from RNAcentral. Lineage: Eukaryota; Metazoa; Chordata; Mammalia; Primates; Hominidae.